Molecule: long non-coding RNA, 530 nt
Filed under: Nicotiana tabacum (common tobacco)
Lineage: Eukaryota; Viridiplantae; Streptophyta; Magnoliopsida; Solanales; Solanaceae
Description: long non-coding RNA (NTAB_LNC010337)
Source: RNAcentral
CAGAAGUCAGCUGGAUCCUAUUAUUAUUUGGAUGAUUAACCAGAACAGGUUGCAUCGAUGAUCCUUGCUUACCUCUUUCUAUUGGCACCUUGAUUUAACAGAAGCUCCGCUAUUCCUCCUAGGUGAAAUGAUGAUCGCAAAAACAGCCUCUGGGUCAUUUAUCUCAUAAACAUCUGACGUGAUUAUUAGAGGUUGAUGUCUCGGUGAACAGAUGAUAGGGUAUGAGCAGAAUGCCUACUGUUUCGUCGAUGGUUUUAUAUGAUGAUCUAGUAAUUAUUUCUGGUAUUAUGUACUCAUUAUUGGUAUUGUUCACCAAUUUUGACUGCAGAGUGGGUAGUUUUCUCCUCGGAUUUUUAUUUUGUAUGUUGAUCUUUGGCAUAUGAAUGAGGUAUUUGAUUGUGUUGAUGAAAUUUUGUGAGAUGUCUUUGAAUAGUUUCACCGAUGAUUAAUGUUCUCGCCUUUAAGUGAUUACGGGACUCUUAUGUAAUACAUAUAUGAGUAAUAGUUGAUUCUUCAUCUCUCAACUCCAU